This is a long non-coding RNA of Cyanistes caeruleus (blue tit), 2307 nucleotides long. The record is from Ensembl. NCBI's taxonomy places the organism in Eukaryota, Metazoa, Chordata, Aves, Passeriformes, Paridae.
AUUAUUUUAAUUUUUUUUUUUUUUAUUAAUUCCUCUCCCAGCAAUGCUUUCUCCACUGGACUACAAGGCUUCCCCCCAAGCUCCAAUUCCUGACUUAGAAAGCCUCGUUGUCCUGCCUCCUUCCCAUCCUGCAUCUCCCUAAAAAAACCUCCAUAAAACAACAGCUGAGGACACCCUGUAACCCCUCCCGUAGUGUGAAGGCACCUCCUGAUGUUGGGACACCACCAAGCCAAAGCUGAAGCUGACACAUCCUCCCUCCCAAGGACGGGAGCUGGGCUUGGAGCCCGGAGAAGAGGCUUCCCUGCCAUUAAUGGGAUGAAAUAAUGCAAAAUUGAGUGGAAUUUGCUUCAUGAAUGAAGAAAACCAAAGGGCUGAGGGAUGCUCCACAUCCCACCACGGGUCAGUCCCCUUCCUGUGCCUGGGGACAAAGGAAAACCAGAGGAAGCUCAGGAAAAACUGCAUUUUUAAUGGCCUGAGAAAGCUGAUCUGUGGCCAGAGAUGGAGAGAGGUCAGAUGGGUUUGUGCAACAGCAGGGGAAGGGUGAGUGGCUCACGGGCUGACCCCUGUGAAGACUUUUUUGGGGGGUUCAUGGCUCUGCCAGAGGAGCUGGAAAAAGGCACAGGGAGGUGGGAAAAUGGAGCUGCCUCAAUUCCCAAGUUCACCCGUUUUUUUAGCAGUGAGGGUGUUUUACCAGCUGGACAACUUACAAUUGGAUCCUCUCCCAGUCUUUAAACUGAGCCCAUCUGUGUUUUUAAAUACUAAGUUUAACCCCAGAAAUGAUGAUACAGACAGAAAAAAAUCGGGCUACCGGCCACUUUCUGGAAAGGUCUGGAUUCCUUGCACUUCAUGACCCCUUGGAAAACACAAGGGACCUCUGCACCUCUCAGAAACAAACUCAGGAUGUUUGAAAAUCUGUUUGUGCCGCGUCCAGAGCGGCGCAGCAGCAGCUGAAGGUCACAAGCGCCGCGUAAACAGAAAGGAGGUUUUAUUGUGACAUGUCCAUCCGGAGCCAUCGCUCCUGGGUAUGCCAUCUGGGAUGGGAGCAGGAGCCUGUGCAUCCCCACUGCAGCAAGGAGAAAGGGAUUCUGUCCUUGCAAGGAUGGCACCACGGAAAAAGGGGCAGGGAGAAAUACCAGGUUGUAAAUUCGCUUCUAAUUUUACCGAUUUUGAAGAAAAAUCAGAGGUGUGAUGGAGCUUUGGGAUGCAAAUUCCUCCUGUGGGGUUUAAAUCACUUACCCAAGCAGGGAGAAGGAAGUUUUCACGCAUGGAGAGUGUUUCCUGUCUGGGGAGUGGUUUGCAGUGACUGUCCUUCUCAUUUGGGGACAUCAGAAGGGGGGAUGGUGCAUGCCUGGUCCAGAACAGCACCAGGAGAUGGCCUGAAACAGCCAUGAUCGCUCCAGCAACACCCUGUGGAUGUCAGGAGAGAAAGGCAGCAGCCAUGGGGGAGAAACCUCUGGAAUCUUGGUAAAAACAGUGGGAAUGAGAGACUGGGAUGGAAGAGGGGAUGUGGCUGGGCAGGUGAAGGUGCUGAUGCAAUUCCUGCCGCUCCUGAGGCAAUGAGGGAGGAGAUUUUGGCUUUCACCACUUGCAGAUAGCUCCUGGUGUUUCAGGAAAGCACUUGGAGAGGGACACAGCCUGGAAACUUCAGACAUCGUGGCUGGAUGGUGGCCAGAAAGUGUCUCAGCUCUGGGGCUGCCUGAGGUCUGUCCCAUCAGGGAAUCUGCUGUCCAAAGGAAGGAACAGUGUCUCAGGAUAGGUGAACCCCAGUGGGACCCAGGCUGGGGACCAGAGAGCUGUGAGUGCCUGGUGAGGGCCCUGUUUUGGGAAACCUGACCCUCUCCUGGGAGCAGAUCCUCUGACAGCUGCUCCAUGCUCCCCUGCUCCGUGAUCCCGCUCUUGGGGGUCUCCUUUAGCCACAAAUUCAGACCAGGAGCAGUGCCCUGCUCCCAGGACACCCCUUUUCCCAGAUCCAGGUUGUCUGCGCCUCUUUGAGCAUGAAAAAUGUGGGUAACUCCCCAAAUUCCCAUCUCCUGCUGCUGCUGGCUGGAAGGAACUUGCUGGUCCAAGGAAGAGCUGGAGCUCAGGGAUACCAGAGCCCCUGGCAGGGAAAUCCAGGGCUUCAGCAGCACAGAUGUGCUCCAGCUGUUCCCACUUCAACACAGGCUUGCUGGAUCCAUUGCUAUCUUCCCACAGGAUUAUUUUUACCAGGUGAUAAGGACGGGAUCUGCAAGUCUAUUGAAGCACCUAAAGGUGGCUUGCUGGAAACCCACGGGAAUAAAAGGAGGAGAAUCCCAGCUUUUCUUGUCA